Molecule: unclassified non-coding RNA, 964 nt
Filed under: Hevea brasiliensis (rubber tree)
Lineage: Eukaryota; Viridiplantae; Streptophyta; Magnoliopsida; Malpighiales; Euphorbiaceae
Source: RNAcentral
GCGAUACUUCCCCUUCCUCUCAGUUCAGCCCUCGUCAGCCCCAUUCCUCAGCCCCAAAUUGAAGAUCAACAACAAUAAUCUGACGAUGGAGAGCACCGACCGAAAGGAUCUCGAAACCCGCCCCCCUCCCCCCUCCGCCGGCACCGGCGCCGCCGCCUCUGCAGAACUAGACGAUCGCGAUCGCCAGGCCCGCGAGCUCAAAGCCGGUCUCCACCCCCUCCAGAACAAAUUUGUCUUCUGGUACACUCGCCGGACCCCUGGAGUGAGGACGCAGGGAUCAUACGAGGACAACAUCAAGAAGAUUGUCGAGUUCAGCACGGUUGAGGGGUUCUGGGUCUGCUACUGCCAUCUCGCCCGUCCCGUGACGCUGCCCAGCCCGACGGACCUGCAUAUGUUCAAGGAGGGCAUUCGUCCGCUGUGGGAGGAUUCGGCGAAUUGCAAUGGGGGGAAGUGGAUUAUAAGGUUCAAGAAGGCAGUUUCUGGUCGAUUUUGGGAGGACUUGGUACUCGCUUUAGUAGGCGACCAACUUGACUAUGGAGACAACAUAUGUGGUGCCGUGUUAAGCAUUCGAUUCAACGAGGAUAUCUUGAGCGUCUGGAACAGGAAUGCAUCGGACCAUCAGGCUGUGAUGGCUCUAAGGGAUUCGAUCAAGCGGCAUCUGAAGCUUCCUCCUGGCUAUCUGAUGGAGUACAAGGCACAUGAUACUUCUCUGCGCGAUAAUUCAUCAUACAGGAAUACUUGGCUGAGAGGAUAGAUGGGGAUGCCCUCAACAUAAGGUAUACUCUGAGUCUUUGGGACCCAUCUGUGUGCCCUCUCUAUGGGCAACUUGGAACUGACUUGCCUUCCUUCCCAUGUUGAGACAGCUUGUAGCAAAGACUUCCUUCAAACUUGAUUAACCUUUGUUACCAUUUCUAGUAUUUCGGCUGUAUUGCAUGGAGAUUUUAGAUCAAACUUAUAUGCUUAG